RNAcentral lists this ribosomal RNA (439 nucleotides) under uncultured bacterium. RNAcentral describes it as "partial 16S ribosomal RNA". It matches the Rfam family "Bacterial small subunit ribosomal RNA", at positions 339 to 795 of the family's 1533-position model. The record is from RNAcentral.
CUACGGGUGGCACCAGUGAGGAAUAUUGCACAAUGGGGGGAACCCUGAUGCAGCAACGCCGCGUGGAGGAUGACGCAUUUCGGUGUGUAAACUCCUUUUAUAUGUCAAGAAAAUGACGGUAGCAUAUGAAUAAGCACCGGCUAACUCCGUGCCAGCAGCCGCGGUAAUACGGAGGGUGCAAGCGUUACUCGGAAUCACUGGGCGUAAAGGACGCGUAGGCGGGUUGGAAAGUCAGGUGUGAAAUCCUACAGCUUAACUGUAGAACUGCACUUGAAACUUCUAAUCUAGAGUAUGGGAGGGGGAGAUGGAAUUAGUGGUGUAGGGGUAAUAUCCGUAGAUACCACUAGGAAUACCUAAAGCGAAGGCGAUCUCCUGGAACAUUACUGACGCUAAGGCGUGAAAGCGUGGGGAGCAAACAGGAUUAGAUACCCCAGUAGUC